RNAcentral lists this transfer RNA (74 nucleotides) under Planctomycetia bacterium. Its description in RNAcentral is "tRNA-Arg". It matches the Rfam family "tRNA". Rfam says of the family: Transfer RNA (tRNA) molecules are approximately 80 nucleotides in length. Their secondary structure includes four short double-helical elements and three loops (D, anti-codon, and T loops). Further hydrogen bonds mediate the characteristic L-shaped molecular structure. tRNAs have two regions of fundamental functional importance: the anti-codon, which is responsible for specific mRNA codon recognition, and the 3' end, to which the tRNAs corresponding amino acid is attached (by aminoacyl-tRNA synthetases). tRNAs cope with the degeneracy of the genetic code in two manners: having more than one tRNA (with a specific anti-codon) for a particular amino acid; and 'wobble' base-pairing, i.e. permitting non-standard base-pairing at the 3rd anti-codon position. The record is from RNAcentral. Lineage: Bacteria; Pseudomonadati; Planctomycetota; Planctomycetia.
GUCUCCGUAGCACAAUAGGAUAGCGCGUCGCCCUCCGAAGGCGAAGGUUGUGGGUUCGACCCCCGCCGGAGACG